AUUUGUGUGUUUGUUUCUCAGAACUGUCAAUGAACAACGCUCAAGAGAAAGCUUGCUCAUAAUUUUAUACUAUACCGUUAAUGUGUACUAUUAAUAGUGGGUUUUACAGUAUAUAAUGUAAUUUCAUAUUAAACUUUAUUUUAUAAAUGAGCUCGAGAUCACAAAACGUAACUAAGGUUCACUAAAACAUUUCAUAUCGGUCAUAAUUAUUAUACGUCAAACCUGAAGAAAGACUAAAUUAACAAAACAAAACAAUUCACACAAUUCCACUCCCAGCAUUUUCGCCCAAAAUUGUUAAUUUGGCCCAUUUUAGGGGAAGCUGCAAGGAUUGAUAGCGUGCGUAAAAAAUGAUAUUAAUUAUUUGAGUAUACUCUGCACGUUUAAAAAAAUCAUCCAAAACCUCUUGCUAUUUUUUGCCUCUCUUCUGCUGCUGCUGACAACAUCAGAAGGACUCCCAUUUUUGGCGUUUUGAUAAAACAGCUGGCAUUUUAAAUAAAUUAAAACCCUCAUUCAAUUCGUUCGAUUUAUUCUGUUCGCGCUUGAUACAUCCAGCACCGCGGCCUUGAGCUGACGUACAGCCGUGAUGGAUCGUGAAUAAAGCGCUAAAUGCAUCGUGCAUGGCCUUGGCGGGACGUACAGCAAGAUGGAACGUGAAUAAGGCGCUUAAAAUUUUUACAGAACGUCACGCAGGUAUGCAACGGAAGUGACAUCAAACUACUAUUGAAAUUAAGUACCGGUAAAAUGGGGCGAUUAAACAUACCUAUAAUAUAUAUAUAUAUAAAUAUACCUACAUGUGAAAAACAUGUAGGUAUAUUUAUUAGUUUUUUUAAAACCUAAAUAAUUUUUAAUCUUGUGACAACCCUGACUGCCAUUUCUAUUUUCUAUUCUAUAUAUUCUAUAUCUAUAUUAUUAUUAUGAUAGUUUUCCAAUUACAGCACUAGAGCGCAUUAUGCGGCAUAAUGAUCAACGUUGAAUGUUCCAACUACAGCAACGCUUCGCACAAUCGGGCACUCUCAAAAGUACUGCCUGUCAUCAGAUAUUUUAGUAAUGGCUCAAAUAACUCAUCUGUUUCAUUAUCAUAUAUAUUUUCAAUAAAUAUAUCACUUGAUAAUGAAAUAA
Molecule: long non-coding RNA, 1119 nt
Organism: Bombyx mori (domestic silkworm)
Lineage: Eukaryota; Metazoa; Arthropoda; Insecta; Lepidoptera; Bombycidae
Exons: 2
Source: RefSeq, a predicted model, not a curated record